RNAcentral lists this ribosomal RNA (804 nucleotides) under Rhodococcus sp. (in: high G+C Gram-positive bacteria). Its description in RNAcentral is "bacterial SSU rRNA". It matches the Rfam family "Bacterial small subunit ribosomal RNA", at positions 10 to 826 of the family's 1533-position model. Lineage: Bacteria; Bacillati; Actinomycetota; Actinomycetes; Mycobacteriales; Nocardiaceae. The record is from RNAcentral.
AGUUUGAUUCAUGGCUCAGGACGAACGCUGGCGGCGUGCUUAACACAUGCAAGUCGAACGAUGAAGCCCAGCUUGCUGGGUGGAUUAGUGGCGAACGGGUGAGUAACACGUGGGUGAUCUGACCUGCACUUCGGGAUAAGCCUGGGAAACUGGGUCUAAUACCGGAUAGGACCUCGGGAUGCAUGUUCCGGGGUGGAAAGGUUUUCCGGUGCAGGAUGGGCCCGCGGCCUAUCAGCUUGUUGGUGGGGUAACGGCCCACCAAGGCGACGACGGGUAGCCGGCCUGAGAGGGCGACCGGCCACACUGGGACUGAGACACGGCCCAGACUCCUACGGGAGGCAGCAGUGGGGAAUAUUGCACAAUGGGCGCAAGCCUGAUGCAGCGACGCCGCGUGAGGGAUGACGGCCUUCGGGUUGUAAACCUCUUUCAGUACCGACGAAGCGCAAGUGACGGUAGGUACAGAAGAAGCACCGGCCAACUACGUGCCAGCAGCCGCGGUAAUACGUAGGGUGCGAGCGUUGUCCGGAAUUACUGGGCGUAAAGAGCUCGUAGCCGGUUUGUCGCGUCGUCUGUGAAAACCCGCAGCUCAUCUGCGGGCUUGCAGGCGAUACGGGCAGACUUGAGUACUGCAGGGGAGACUGGAAUUCCUGGUGUAGCGGCGAAAUGCGCAGAUAUCAGGAGGAACACCGGUGGCGAAGGCGGGUCUCUGGGCAGUAACUGACGCUGAGGAGCGAAAGCGUGGGUAGCGAACAGGAUUAGAUACCCUGGUAGUCCACGCCGUAAACGGUGGGCGCUAGGUGUGGG